Non-coding RNA from Atractiella rhizophila, 84 nucleotides. The record is from the annotation of a GenBank genome assembly. Lineage: Eukaryota; Fungi; Basidiomycota; Atractiellomycetes; Atractiellales; Hoehnelomycetaceae.
GCCCCAAUAGCGCAAUGGUUAACGUGUCCGCCUCCUAUAUGAAUAGUGAGCGGGAGAUUCCAGGUUCGAUCCCUGGUUGGGGUG